Molecule: long non-coding RNA, 2481 nt
Filed under: Sus scrofa (pig)
Lineage: Eukaryota; Metazoa; Chordata; Mammalia; Artiodactyla; Suidae
Description: lncRNA (ENSSSCG00005023668.1)
Source: RNAcentral
GUACAAGCCUGUGUGCCUGGCGGCGCUCCUCAUGUCACUCUCAUCUACUCUCCUUAAGCCACGUCCCUGCCAGGGCCAGAAAGCCUCCCCCCGCCCCCCGCCCCUUGCUGCUUCGUUAGGCUGGUAAGGCACGAAUUUCAGAGGACUGGAGGUGCUGCCAACUUAGCCCCUGGGGUCUGAACCAGAGAAAAGUUACAUCAGGACUGUUGUGCUGAUGUGCCAGAUGUUCGGAGAAAAAGUCAAGUUCUGUAUCUUCAACCAUAUGUGCCUGAUUCAUGGCACUUGCUCUCUUGUUGGUUAUAUCCUGCCCCGUGGGUCGAAUGGUUCAGUAAACUUAGUACCAAGAGCCAAACUCUGGGCUCGAAUGUUAUUGAACCAAAGAUUGGAAACGUUUGUCUGUGCGAGGGGGGUGGGUAGUUCAAAUGAGGAAAGUAGAGACAGUUUCUUAGGGUCUUGGGGUUUUUCAUAUAGCUACUUGGGCUCAUUUACUAGUGUUUGUUCUUUUUGUCCUCGCCUGUAUUUGAGCGCGUUAAUGCUCUUUCCUUCCAGAAACGUACCCCCUCCUCCGCUGGGUUGCUCCGCCCUCUCUGAUGAUUCUCUCCCUGUCUCCCACAUUCUCUCCCGGGGUGAUGCCUCCCUCCUCGCUUGUGGUUUCAGAUCUUCCUUCCCCUCUCCACCUUGCGCAUCUCAGCCAGGCUCCGCUGGCUGGGCCACAGGGCAUGUCCGCUUGCCUCUCUUGCCGUCAGCAUGUCAGACAGACCCCCUUAUGGCUGUGAAACCGCCUCGCCUCUCUUUCAUAAGUCCCGUCUUUUUGUCACUCACGAUUGCAAGGGGGGCAUUAUUCAGCUUUGAUCCUGUCCUUCCAUCUUCUUUGAAGGCUCCUCCCUUUGAAAUGUCACUUACAUAUCACUUUUCGCUGCCAUCACUUUAGUUUCCAGGCCAGGGGUCCAACUGGAGCUGUAGCCACCGGUCUACACCACAGCCACAGCAACGUGGGAUCCGAGCCGUGUCUGCGACCUACACCAUAGCUCACGGCAACGGUAGAUCCUUAGCCCACUGAGCGAGGCCAGGGAUCGAACCCGAAACCUCAUGGUUCCUAAUCAGAUUCGUUAACCACUGCGCCACAAUGGGAACUCCCAUUUUUGUUGAUUCUUAGUUUGUGUAUGUGUUCAUAAAAAUGUCUCCUAUCAGAACCCCAAAUCUAAACAAUUGAGCAUGUGAUCUGCACAAUAGCAUUUUUUGUUUGAUUGGUUGGUUGGUUGGUUUUGUUUUUGUUUUUCUGAUAAUGGGUAUUGGCCAAUAAGUACAGUUGAAAUAGACUGGGAGUGAAAGAGGAAACUUAACAUUUAUAUCUGACCGAGUUUGGUAAAUUUUUUGCAACUGUAUGGUGUUUUUCUUUCAGUAACUGUUCAGUUGACUCUUGGACAGAGGAGAAAAGUUUGGUUUCUACAUGUUAGCAUCCUCUGGUGAAGAUCAAAUUUCUUUUGAUGAUAUGCUUUCUUUUCACGUGAACUCUGAGAGGUGUGCUACUUCAUAAUUUUAUCCUAAUUCCCUGGGGUAAGAAUUGAAAAGCUGUCAAUGAAAUUUUGCAGAUAUUUUAGACUAAUCCUUAUGCUUGUUAAUCUGCUUUUAUAAAAAAGUCAUACUAGGUAUCUUAACGAGAUCAGUAGUGCAAAACUGACUGUGAGGGUAGAAUCAAACUGAAUCAUUUUUUUGCUUGGUUUACUUAAAAAUACGUAGUCAUGAGAGUCUUAAACCAUCUGCUGAAAAAAACAAUUCAGCCGGCCACAGACUGUCAAGUAAGAUUCCACAGUAUAUUAGGGGGUCAAUUUCUAAGAACCUCUUUUAAAAAGUAGAAGACUCAAGUAAGCUAGAUUUCUUUUAUGUGGUCUUGGCUGGGAGUGUUUCCUGAAACUUGUGCAUGACAAUUGGUGGAUGGAACCACAGAAUGAUGGCAUUCGGAGUCCUGGGAGAGAACUGAUGUCAUCAAAUAAAAUGGACUUUGAGCAUCUUAGGAAGAUCAGGAUGCUAAGGGCCCCUGGGGAAGUAACUUUGACAAAAAGAAAUCCAAGAGAACUAUUCUUAAAACAAGUAAUGUUGUAAGGAAAAAACCCGAUAUUAGUACACAUAAAACGCAGAAUAAUAGAGUGUCUCCUCUGGCCUUGGAGGUGUAUCAAUACCUUGAGUCAAGUGAGAAAACCACAAAAUAGUGAAACCAGGCCAAAUUGCUGUAGAGAAUUAAGGGGAAAAAAGCAUCAGAUAGAGCCGGAAAAUCUAAUGCCAGAAGUCUUAAAAACUUGAUGCAUUUAGAAUGGAUAAGCAGUGAAAUCCUGCUGUGUAGCACAGGGAACUAUAUCCAGUCUCUUGGGAUAGAAUAUGAUGGAAGAUAGUGUGAGAAAAAGAAGGUGUAUAUGUGUAUGACUGGGUCACUUUGCUGUACGUUGGAAACGGACACAACACUAUAAAUCAACUCUACUCAAA